CCUCGCAAAGGAAUGAAGAACACUGGAAGUAGUAAUUACCCAGACCCUGACCUUCUGCCCUAAACCACCCCACCGCAGGACGUUGGUGGCUUCCUUGCCUGGUACCGUCUUUGACGAGAUGCUGCCCGUCCUCAGUGCACCUGCACCCGUGGACCUUGAAGGCCAAGCACAGAGGAGGGGAGUGGACUGUGGAGUCAGAGAGGUGUGGUUUCACCCCUGCUCCGACUCUCACUUGCUUGUGACCUUAGACUUGUUGUUUAAGUGCUGCACGGCUCGGCUCAUCCAUCUGUCGUGUGCAGACGGUAAUGUCAAUCCCCCAGGGUUCUUAAACCGAGUGACUGUGGUAAUGCAUGAGAAGGGCCUGGAGCAUGGUGGGUGUCUAAUAAUUGCUGGCUGACAUAAUUAGUGCUGGGCUGACAUAAGCCAC
RNAcentral lists this long non-coding RNA (427 nucleotides) under Equus caballus (horse). RNAcentral's name for it is "lncRNA (ENSECAG00000050761.1)". Lineage: Eukaryota; Metazoa; Chordata; Mammalia; Perissodactyla; Equidae. The record is from RNAcentral.